CAAAGAGUAUAUAAAGGCUGGUCCUCAAACCAGUGCAAGUUAUUUCUCAAGUUCCAAAGCUACAAACAGCACAAGCACUAGGACACAUUGACUCCUAAACUUCAUAACAACAGUGAAAGUUAGAGCCACCAAGAUGCGUCUCCUCUUCAUCCUGAUCGUCGCGUGCAGCCUCCUGGGAACCGCUCUCUCGCUGCCUCAGUUUAGGGAACAGAGGAAUGAUGCUGCUCCUAAUUUCUUUUUCCGACCGUUCUUCAGCAGAAACCAGCGCUACAGGCCACUCCGCCGCCAAACCUACGUCAUGGAUGAUUUCUUGGGAGGCAGAUAAGAAGGCCAAAGGAUGAGUCUAGUCUGCUGAGGAGAUGAGUCUGAUCCGUCAAGAUGAUGAGUCUGAUCUGCUGAGGAAAUGGCGUUGAUCGUCUGCCAAGGAGACUCAGAUAUACUCGCUUUUGUAAAUGUGAUAUUUAUAUACACCAUUGUUAGGGACAUGCGAUUUGUUUUCUCCUAAUAUAUAUUAGAUAUGCUUUACAUUUUCUAUUAAAGUGUUGAAUAAA
Molecule: long non-coding RNA, 551 nt
Organism: Penaeus indicus
Lineage: Eukaryota; Metazoa; Arthropoda; Malacostraca; Decapoda; Penaeidae
Exons: 3
Source: RefSeq, a predicted model, not a curated record